GAGGGAGAAGCACCAGGAAGCAGAGCUAGCUUGAAACUAGUUAGAGGGGGUUCGAAUCCUUCCUCCCUUG
Molecule: transfer RNA, 70 nt
Filed under: Eremias argus
Lineage: Eukaryota; Metazoa; Chordata; Lepidosauria; Squamata; Lacertidae
Description: tRNA-Ser
Rfam family: tRNA
About the family: Transfer RNA (tRNA) molecules are approximately 80 nucleotides in length. Their secondary structure includes four short double-helical elements and three loops (D, anti-codon, and T loops). Further hydrogen bonds mediate the characteristic L-shaped molecular structure. tRNAs have two regions of fundamental functional importance: the anti-codon, which is responsible for specific mRNA codon recognition, and the 3' end, to which the tRNAs corresponding amino acid is attached (by aminoacyl-tRNA synthetases). tRNAs cope with the degeneracy of the genetic code in two manners: having more than one tRNA (with a specific anti-codon) for a particular amino acid; and 'wobble' base-pairing, i.e. permitting non-standard base-pairing at the 3rd anti-codon position.
Source: RNAcentral